RNAcentral lists this ribosomal RNA (404 nucleotides) under Actinomycetes bacterium. RNAcentral describes it as "Actinobacteria bacterium partial 16S ribosomal RNA". It matches the Rfam family "Bacterial small subunit ribosomal RNA", at positions 355 to 776 of the family's 1533-position model. Lineage: Bacteria; Bacillati; Actinomycetota; Actinomycetes. The record is from RNAcentral.
UGGGGAAUAUUGGACAAUGGGCGCAAGCCUGAUCCAGCCAUGCCGCGUGAGUGAUGAAGGCCUUAGGGUUGUAAAGCUCUUUUGUCCGGGAAGAUAAUGACUGUACCGGAAGAAUAAGCCCCGGCUAACUUCGUGCCAGCAGCCGCGGUAAUACGAAGGGGGCUAGCGUUGCUCGGAAUCACUGGGCGUAAAGGGCGCGUAGGCGGACUCUUAAGUCGGGGGUGAAAGCCCAGGGCUCAACCCUGGAAUUGCCUUCGAUACUGAGAGUCUUGAGUUCGGAAGAGGUUGGUGGAACUGAGAGUGUAGAGGUGAAAUUCGUAGAUAUUCGCAAGAACACCAGUGGCGAAGGCGGCCAACUGGUCCGAUACUGACGAUGAGGAGCGAAAGCGUGGGGAGCAAACAGG